Molecule: ribosomal RNA, 253 nt
Filed under: uncultured bacterium
Lineage: Bacteria
Description: partial 16S ribosomal RNA
Rfam family: Bacterial small subunit ribosomal RNA
Source: RNAcentral
UACGAAGGGUGCAAACGUUGCUCGGAAUUAUUGGGCGUAAAGCGCACGUAGGCGGCUUAGCAAGUCGGAUGUGAAAUCCCUCGGCUCAACCAAGGAAGUGCAUCCGAAACUGCUGAGCUUGAGUACGAAAGAGGAUCGCGGAAUUCCCGGUGUAGAGGUGAAAUUCGUAGAUAUCGGAAGGAACACCAGUGGCGAAGGCGGCGAUCUGGGUCGAUACUGACGCUGAGGUGCGAAAGCGUGGGGAGCAAACAGG